Long non-coding RNA from Branchiostoma belcheri (Belcher's lancelet), 2460 nucleotides. RefSeq lists it as uncharacterized. The record is from RefSeq and is a predicted model, not a curated record. NCBI's taxonomy places the organism in Eukaryota, Metazoa, Chordata, Leptocardii, Amphioxiformes, Branchiostomatidae. The transcript is spliced from 3 exons.
GACACACAGAAAAGACAGACGGACGUGUUCACAGCUUUAUUAGAAGAUCCACAGUUAUACACACAACCGGUAAUAGAGGCUGGCUGGCAAACAGGAGACAGAUGCAAUCUCCUUAAGGACAUACAAGAGAAAAGGUACCAUCUCCUUAAAGACAUACAACAGAAAAGGUGCCAUCUCCUUAAACACAUACAUGUCAUGAGACAAGGUUUGAAGACAAGGUACUAUCUUCUUAAAGACAAUAUACCAUCUCCUUAAAGACAUGGCACCAUCUCCUUAAAGACAAGGUACCAGCUCCUUAACGACAGGGUACCAGCUCCUUAAAGACGUGGUACCAGCUCCUUAAAGACAUGGUACCAGCUCCUUAAAGACAUGGUACCAGCUCCUUAAAGACACGGUGCCAACUCCUUAAAGACAUGGUACCAGCUCCUUAAAGACAUGGUACCAGCUCCUUAAAGACAUGGUACCAGCUCCUUAAAGACAUGGUACCAGCUCCUUAAAGACAUGGUGCCAGCUCCUUAAAGACAUGGUACCAGUUCUUGCAAGAAGUCUCCGUCCACCCCUGACCUGUGGCAUCGCGUGUAGAAGCGUCUUGAGUGACGCCACAAGUCAGAAGAUGACUUUAAGACUUUGUUUAAGACUUAAGAUGGCCACUACGAUGACACGAUGAUAUCUACAGUAAGAUUAUCUGGAGGAGAGAUGAGAAAGUAGGAUCAGGUCCUCAGCAGAAGUGAAGGGGCGGAGACGCGUUAAUCUUUACAUGUAGAGAUGACAGGUUUUUACUGGCGCAGCCUCUUAUUAUAAUGUACAGGAAAGUAGAGAAAUAGUUUUUAAUAGUGUCUAAAUACUUACAUCGAGCGUCGGGUGCGAAUCGCAGCUACACGUAAUGUUUCUGGCUUGUCAAACAUCUGGUGUAAAAGAACCCAGUUCACAGCCGACUCCCUACCUAACAUGCAAAUGGGAUAAGUAAGCACUAGCGGACACACUGCUAAUAUGCCAACUCGGUUGGCGAAAAGUCACAACAAUCUUGUCCACAAAAUCAUCCACGUUAGAAACACAGUUACAUAUUCCAUAUGUGCCAGAAGAGGUACACACCAACCUGCUCCGACACAUCAGUUUUACACGCCAUUUGCCAAGUUCCUCUGUAGAGCAUCUAAAUCAGACAACUUGUGUACAUAUUGAACCCUUCUGUUCAGUUUUACCAGAUCCUGUUCAUCAGUUUUCCGUGGCGACAAACCUAAUCCGCUAGGCAAAACCACAGCCGUCACAAGUUUGCUGCUUUGUUGUUCAAACGUGUCUGAGGUAAAGUAACAAUUAGAACAAACCCUGUAGAUUUCUGGAAGAGCAUGAUUUUGUCACUUUGAUGACAUCAAGCAGUUGCAAGUACAUGUAGUAAAGUCACAGUUACUGCAGUAACCUUUAUCAGACCAAUUUGUACAUUUUGCAUGAGUCCAGAGAGCGUACUACUGUACAUUCUGACUCUGAGCGAUUUGGUUCUCCCGGAAGACUAUUUGUACAGCAAAUACAACCCUGUCGGCAGCCACACAUCCUGGCACAGUCUACAGCAGUUAACUUUCUAUCUGACACUGCAUCUUUCAAUAUCAAACUUAGACUAUGGCAAAGUACAGAAAUGGCAGGAGUAGUUAAUAUAAUCUGGCACGGUAGUGAUUGGCACAAAACCAUGGAAAGAUUCUGCAUGCAGCAGGAGUUAGCGGCUUGUCGUUUUGGCAGCAAACCAAACUGAACACAUCUAUUUUAUGUUACUUACAUGAAAACAAUGAAGGUUUUCUAAAACUGAAAAAAUAUAUACCAUAGCAAACUGUGGUACACAUCAACAAACAAGUACCAGGUACUGGGGAUGAUGUUAGUGUGAAUGGUACAUGUACCAGGUACUGGGGCUAUGCUGAUGUUAGUGUGAAUGGUGCAGGUACCAGGUACUGGGGUUAUGGUUAGUGUGAAUGGUGCAGGUACCAGGUACUGGGGCUGUGGUUAGUGUGAAUGGUGCAGGUACCAGGUACUGGGGCUAUGCUGAUGUUAGUGUGAAUGGUGCAGGUACCAGGUACUGGGGCUAUGCUAGUUAGUGUGAAUGGUGCAGGUACCAGGUACUGGGGCUGAUGUUAGUGUGAAUGGUGCAGGUACCAGGUACUGGGGCUAUGGUUAGUGUGAAUGGUGCAGGAUACCAGGUACUGGAGCUAUGCUGAUGUUAGUGUGAAUGGUACAGGUACCAGGUACUGGGGCUAUGCUGAUGUUAGUGUGAAUGGUACAGGUACCAGGUACUGGGGCUAUGGUUAGUGUGAAUGGUGCAGGUACCAGGUACUGGGGCUAUGCUGAUGUUAGUGUGAAUGGUACAGGUACCAGGUACUGGGGCUAUGCUGAUGUUAGUGUGAAUGGUGCAGGUACCAGGUACUGGGGCUAUGCUGAUGUUAGUGUGAAUGUCCAGGUUGAAUGGAGGAUUAGUAGCAG